RNAcentral lists this ribosomal RNA (206 nucleotides) under uncultured bacterium. RNAcentral describes it as "partial 16S ribosomal RNA". It matches the Rfam family "Bacterial small subunit ribosomal RNA", at positions 568 to 774 of the family's 1533-position model. The record is from RNAcentral.
CAUGUAGGCGGCUUAAUAAGUCGAGCGUGAAAAUGCGGGGCUCAACCCCGUAUGGCGCUGGAAACUGUUAGGCUUGAGUGCAGGAGAGGAAAGGGGAAUUCCCAGUGCAGCGGUGAAAUGCGUAGAUAUUGGGAGGAACACCAGUGGCGAAGGCGCCUUUCUGGACUGUGUCUGACGCUGAGAUGCGAAAGCCAGGGUAGCGAACG